CUGAUAUUGCACAUAAUGAAUGUUUUUUGUUUCGACCGCGUGAUUCGAAGUUCCCUUUCCAUCCCCCAGAUAGCCGUGCCCGACGUCCUGGAAGCAGCCAAGGAUGCAGAUGUCAUUGUCUUCGUCAUACCACACCAGUUCAUCAAGAACAUCUGCAAGCCGCUGGUGGGUCAGCUCAAGCCCACCGCCGUCGGCAUCUCGCUUAUUAAGGGUUUUGACAUAGCUGAAGGUGGUGGUAUUGCCCUCAUCUCUAGAAUCAUCUGUGACUUCGUAAAUGUUCCCAUGUCAGUCCUUAUGGGAGCCAACCUUGCAGGAGAAGUAGCAGAGGAAAAAUUUUGUGAAACAACCAUAGGCUGUCGCGAUCCCAUAGUAGGCCGGAUGUACAGGGACCUCAUCCAGACAGAUUACUUCAGAGUUGUUGUUGUUGAUGAUGUUGAAGCUGUUGAAGUAUGUGGUGCUCUGAAGAAUAUUGUUGCCACUGGUGCUGGAUUUAUUGAUGGUCUUGGCUUUGGUGACAACACAAAGGCAGCUGUGAUUAGAUUAGGCCUUAUGGAAAUGAUCAAAUUUUGUGAAGUAUUUUAUCCAGGUUCCAAACUGGGCACAUUCUUUGAAAGUUGCGGAGUUGCUGAUCUUAUCACAACUUGCUAUGGUGGCAGGAAUAGGAGAGUUGCAGAGGCUUUUGUGAAGACUGGAAAGACAAUUGAAGAACUGGAAAAGGAGAUGCUGAAUGGCCAGAAGCUACAGGGACCACAAACUGCUGAAGAAGUUAAUUACAUGCUGAAGAACAAGGGGAUGGAAGAUCGGUUUCCACUUUUCACCUCCAUACAUCGCAUUUGCAAGGGCGAAAUCCCCCCUGCAGAAAUGGUAAACUGCAUCAGGAACCAUCCAGAACACAUGAAACAAAAUAAAAAAUAUAUGUUGUGAUCUUCAAACAAGUCUUUUAAAUCAAAGCUCUAAGUCAUCGACCUACUUUUGGUGUACAUUCGACAAGGAACACACCACUGUCACAGGCAACCAUGACUGAUGAAGACAAGACUGAGCAUAGGCAGUGUCAUCCAUCCCAGUUCUGCUAUAUUACAUCACCAGUCUUCCUGAAAAUUUGAAGCACAUUCUUGAAGUGGAAAUUUUAAAAUUAUAUAUAUAUAUAUAUUAUAUAUAUAUAUAUAUAUAUUAUAUAUAUAUAUAUAUAUAUAUAUAUAUAUAUAUAUAUAUAUAUAUAUAUAUAUAUAUAUAAUUUUUUUUCCUUUUUUCUUUUUUUGAUAAUGAUAGCAAAUGCUAACUUAAAGAUAGGAUGCAAACCAUUUACUGUAGAGUGUGAGCACUUUUUUAUAUAUUGCAAAAAUAUAGAUGAAAGUUUUAUCUUUUCAUGAAAAAAAUUGUUGUUUUAUACAGUAAUGAUUGAUCCAAUGCACCUUCUUUAGUAUUUUGACUUGAAGUAUUCUGGUUAUGUUUAGAUAAAUGAAUUUGAAAUACAAAGAUGUGAGAACUUUUGGGGAUGUGUUGAAUGGCACUAACUAUUAUGUCUGGUACUGAAUUGUGUUCAAAUGACUUUUUUGAAAUAUUAGAUGAGUUAGUCUUUAUUGUAUAAGAUCUUCAUACAAUUUUGUUAUUUGUAGAACUAGUUCUGAAAACCAUUAACUAUCAGGAAAAUAUUCCUUUCUAGAUACACUGAAUACUCAGUUACAAUUAUUACAUAGUUACCAUAUACUUAUGCUCAACUAUUUUUAGUAAUUCCUGUUCAAACCCACCCUUUUGGUGCUACAAACCUCAUUUUAAUUCUAAAAAAGAAACUAAAUGAAAGUGAGUUACCAUUAAAAUUAAGUGAAGAUUUGAAAUACCCCAAUUCUGUGCAGAUAUUAAGUUAAUAGACCUGCUUAAAUACAUGGAUGCAAUGCCAGUUCCUGUUUUGAGCAGCUUUAACCAUGAAUAGCAAGUGUAGAGCAGAUGAAAGCUAGCAAUUUAUGAAUCUUCCUUGUUUGUUUGCAGUAUAUAGAUACAGGCUUUUUAUCAUAUGGCAACUUACUGGACUGAAAAAGAAAUAUGAAAGUUUUGGAUUGCCAUUGUUAGUAAUGAUUGCAGCUUUGGUUCUGUACAUAAAUAGUCACGUCAUGAUUACCGAAGUCUACCUAUUGUUGUGCCAUUAUUACCUAUAUUUUGAAAUUAGAUUGUAUGAGGUGAAUAUCAUACAAUUUCCAUGAGUGAAAGGAAGACCGGUCUGAAUGCAUAAUAGUUACAUAUAUCUGGUUUCAUUUCCUUAUAUUGUUAUAUUUUAUUUUUUUUCUCUCUCCUUUUUUUCUUUUGGUGUAAAUCAAAGGUUGUGCAAUUUCUAUGUAUGGUACCAUUGUUUGUGUUCUUCAUUUUAUAUUGAAAAUUGUUGAGCAUUUUUCUCAGUUAGAUUAUUAUGGAUUACCUUAGUUUAUGAAGACACAAGUAUGUAAAAGAAAUAGAUGUAAUAUAUGCAGCUUGAGAUUAAUAUCUUAACAUAGAUUAACUAUAUAAACAGUGUAGAAAUUGAUCCUUUAGAAAAAGUUAAAAUUAAGAGAAAUGAUAUUUUUAUCAGUUGUUUUUACAACUACAUCUGUGUAAUGUAAGUGGUGCACUUCUAAAAUGCAAAAAAUAUUACUGGAAUGGAGAAAGUUGAUAAAUAAAUGGUGAAUUGAGAAUAA
Molecule: unclassified non-coding RNA, 2666 nt
Filed under: Penaeus monodon (black tiger shrimp)
Lineage: Eukaryota; Metazoa; Arthropoda; Malacostraca; Decapoda; Penaeidae
Description: glycerol-3-phosphate dehydrogenase [NAD(+)], cytoplasmic-like, transcript variant X6
Source: RNAcentral